GACAGAGGUGGCGAGCGUUGUUCGGUGUCACUGGGCUUAGAGCGUGUGUAGGCGGGAAAGUAAGCGCCUUGUGAAAUCCCCCGGCUUAACCGGGGAAUUGCUUGGCGAACUGCUUUUCUUGAGGCAAGUAAGGGGGCGAGGAACUCUUGGUGGAGCGGUGGAAUGCGUAGAUAUCAAGAGGAACGCCGGUGGUGAAGACGUCGCACUAGGCUUGUCCUGACGCUGAGACACGAAAGCGUGGGGAGCAAACGGG
RNAcentral lists this ribosomal RNA (253 nucleotides) under uncultured bacterium. RNAcentral describes it as "partial 16S ribosomal RNA". It matches the Rfam family "Bacterial small subunit ribosomal RNA", at positions 524 to 776 of the family's 1533-position model. The record is from RNAcentral.